UCCGUUGGAUUUUCCCGCCGAUUUAUUUCAUUUUUUUUCAAAAGACCGUUUUCUGAAAAUAUUAAUUGCUCUUUGUGGGCACAGAGACUUCGGACCAAAGCAUUUCGAAUGUUAAUAUUUUAAAUCUAGUGUGUUUGACUAUAUUUGUGUGCUAGUAUUUUCUUACUAUUUAGAUUAAUCUGGUGGUAAUAAUAAAUAUAUAAAUGACGAUGAAACAACAGAUGUAUAACUUGAAGAAUAACUUACAUUAUGUGUUCGAUACAUUAAUGGUUCAGGAGAUAAAAAUUGAAAUAAAGAUUGAAAUAUGUAAAAAUACAUAAUUUAACAGUAAAGAUGUAGUCUGCAGUUCUUGAAGGUUUAAACUCUUGUGGUAUUGAUUGUACUAGAAUGUGCGACCAAGGCCACAAUGGAGCAGCAAAUAUGUCAGAAAAAUUUAAAUUUGUGCAAACUCUGAUAAGAAAUUUAUCAGUUUCAUCUGCUUGUGAAGUUCAAUUCAUUAAAAUCUGUAUGGGUAUAGUGGAAAAAAUAAAUAAUUUUUUCGAUUUCCCAAAAUUUAAUAAUGUUCUUUUGGAAGCAAUUACCAACAGCAGCCUAAACCCUUUAACAAAAUCACUCAAAUGAUUGUGUUUUAAACAAUGGGUUGAAAGAUAUACAGCACUCAAUGACUUUGUAGAACUUUUUCCGUCUAUAGUUGAAGCAUUAGAAGAAAUACCAAAUAAGUUUGACAUU
Long non-coding RNA from Sipha flava (yellow sugarcane aphid), 729 nucleotides. RefSeq lists it as uncharacterized. Lineage: Eukaryota; Metazoa; Arthropoda; Insecta; Hemiptera; Aphididae. The record is from RefSeq and is a predicted model, not a curated record. The transcript has 3 exons.